RNAcentral lists this ribosomal RNA (110 nucleotides) under uncultured bacterium. RNAcentral describes it as "partial 16S ribosomal RNA". It matches the Rfam family "Bacterial small subunit ribosomal RNA", at positions 1373 to 1482 of the family's 1533-position model. The record is from RNAcentral.
CCCGGGCCUCGUACACACCGCCCGUCAAACCAUGGGAGUGGGUUGCACCAGAAGUGGAUAGUCUAACCUUCGGGAGGACGUCUACCACGGUGUGGUUCAUGACUGGGGUU